Molecule: ribosomal RNA, 465 nt
Filed under: uncultured Klebsiella sp.
Lineage: Bacteria; Pseudomonadati; Pseudomonadota; Gammaproteobacteria; Enterobacterales; Enterobacteriaceae
Description: bacterial SSU rRNA
Rfam family: Bacterial small subunit ribosomal RNA
Source: RNAcentral
CCUACGGGUGGCAGCAGUGGGGAAUAUUGCACAAUGGGCGCAAGCCUGAUGCAGCCAUGCCGCGUGUGUGAAGAAGGCCUUCGGGUUGUAAAGCACUUUCAGCGGGGAGGAAGGCGGUGAGGUUAAUAACCUCAUCGAUUGACGUUACCCGCAGAAGAAGCACCGGCUAACUCCGUGCCAGCAGCCGCGGUAAUAGGGAGGGUGCAAGCGUUAAUCGGAAUUACUGGGCGUAAAGCGCACGCAGGCGGUCUGUCAAGUCGGAUGUGAAAUCCCCGGGCUCAACCUGGGAACUGCAUUCGAAACUGGCAGGCUAGAGUCUUGUAGAGGGGGGUAGAAUUCCAGGUGUAGCGGUGAAAUGCGUAGAGAUCUGGAGGAAUACCGGUGGCGAAGGCGGCCCCCUGGACAAAGACUGACGCUCAGGUGCGAAAGCGUGGGGAGCAAACAGGAUUAGAUACCCUAGUAGUC